RNAcentral lists this ribosomal RNA (459 nucleotides) under uncultured bacterium. RNAcentral describes it as "partial 16S ribosomal RNA". It matches the Rfam family "Bacterial small subunit ribosomal RNA", at positions 338 to 795 of the family's 1533-position model. The record is from RNAcentral.
CCUACGGGAGGCAGCAGUGAGGAAUAUUGGUCAAUGGCCGCAGGGCUGAACCAGCCAAGUCGCGUGAGGGAUGACGGUCCUAUGGAUUGUAAACCUCUUUUGUCAGGGAGCAAAGGGCGCCACGUGUGGCGCUUUGCGAGUACCUGAAGAAAAAGCAUCGGCUAACUCCGUGCCAGCAGCCGCGGUAAUACGGAGGAUGCGAGCGUUAUCCGGAUUUAUUGGGGUUAAAGGGUGCGCAGGCGGAAUGUCAAGUCAGCGGUAAAAUUUCGGGGCUAAACCCCGUCGUGCCGUUGAAACUGGCGUUCUUGAGUGAGCGAGAAGUAUGCGGAAUGCGUGGUGUAGCGGUGAAAUGCAUAGAUAUCACGCAGAACUCCGAUUGCGAAGGCAGCAUACCGGCGCUCAACUGACGCUCAUGCACGAAAGCGUGGGUAUCGAACAGGAUUAGAUACCCCAGUAGUC